AUGGACGACCCCAUGCUGUCCCCCGUCAUCGUCGAGGUCGCGCACGCCCCUUCCCCUCGGGCGAAUCUCGUCGCCGGCCAUGUUGGCCCCGCCGCCGUCGCCCAAGCACACGCCGCGCCUGCCCGCAAGCGGCAGGGCAACGUGGUCGUGCAGGGCGGGAAUCCGGCUGCCCCCGCCGCGAUGGCCCGCGCUCCGGGCGCCAACGCCGCACUCGUGACUUGUUAUCGUUUGCUAUGCGAUGGUUCGAACAAUGCAACAACCGAGUUCGUGAACUUGUUGGACACGAACGCGGUUGACAUUGAUCAAGCCCCUUUCGAACCAUUCGACUACAAUGAAACGGAGGGCGGCGUGGACGAUCAUGGUUGUGCGGACGAGUUGGAGGAGAUCGAAGCGGAAGCGUUUGAGCAAUCACAAGCAAAAACUGGGAAAAGCCAAAGAUCGAAGAACUACACGAUCUUGGAAGAUCAAGCUUUGAUCAAAGCAUGGAGUGCGGUGUCUCUUGAUGCAUGCACGGGACUCCACGCACAUUUCGGUCGCUUCAAGGUCGUUGAGAGAACAUCAAGCCUAUGUGCAGCCGUUGGGCAGCUUGCUUGGAGCAAGUACGCAAUACACCUCCAAGUGGCACCGUGGAGUCCGACCAUAUACAAGGACAUGGAAGCUUCGAAAGGCAGAUUCUUGAAAUUAGAGCAUUGUUGGGAGUUGCUCCAAAAGUGCGAGAAGUGGAAGUUGAUCGACAAAGAAUCCCCACCAAAGAGAGGCUCACUUACAAACAUGGAUGAAGAUGAGGAUGAUGAUCGCCCAAGAAAUUUGCACAAGCCGGAUGGCGAUAAGAAGACUAAAGAGAAAAUGAAGAGAGAGCAAGAAGCAUCGAGCUUGAGGGAGAAGAUUGAUGCCAUGGAAGAGGGGCUCCGCAAAGCUGCCAUUGAGGAGAGAAAAUCACGCGCCUCUGAAAACAAAUCGAUGUCAUUGUUGCUCGCCGAAGAGAACAAGAUCAUGUCAAUGAACCGCAAUGACAUGGACGACGUCACCAAAACAUGGCAUGAUAUGGCAAGGAGAGAGAUCUUGAAGAAGAGAAUGGUCGCCUCGGCCGGUCUUCGCGUUCCGGUGAUGUUUUCUCUGCUCCAUAUGGUGGCAACGUGGAUGAUUUCGGUGCGGGAGUUGGAACAAGCGAUGGAGGUGGCUACGGUGGCGCCGAUGAACUUCAAGAUGAACUCCAUGGCACGGAGUGAAGAUCGACCCCAAGAUGAUGCCGGACAUGGGCGCAAACCUUUGCAUGCCCUCUUUUACAUUUGCAGUUUUUCUGUUUACGGGUCGUUGCGCUGGUGCCCGAGCAGAACCCGCAUAGCCGACCCGCAAAAAGCAUAUUCCGCGAACAUAUCUUUUUACGGAUCCGUUGGGGGGUCUGCAUCUGUGCCAGCCCGCGCCGGCCCGCAAAAGCGAUUUUGCGCGAACUGCAAACGCGUUUUGCGGGAGACAGCGCUACGUAGCAUCCGUGACAAGAUAAAGCGGCGGUGGCCGGUGGGCUCCACAAAAUUCCAAGCGAGGAACCCGGCUCGACUGCCUGCCGUUCUCCUCCUCUCUUCCCUCCAUUCACUCCACCUUCCAUCACGCCACCACCCCCGCCCCCGCGCCCUCAAUUUCCGCCAGCCCGCCUUCUCUCUCCCCUUCCUCGCCGCGCAUGCGCCGGCGCGGCUGCUGCUAGGCGGCGCAGACGACAAACCCAGCGACCAGCGGCCCGUCCGUCCACCCUAG
Molecule: ribosomal RNA, 1752 nt
Filed under: Triticum aestivum (bread wheat)
Lineage: Eukaryota; Viridiplantae; Streptophyta; Magnoliopsida; Poales; Poaceae
Description: partial small subunit ribosomal RNA
Source: RNAcentral